CCGCGUCGCUGCCUCCAGGGACUCUCCCAGGAGAGACCCGCGCGCUCCCGGCCUCGAGGAAGUCGCGUUUGAUGUCUACAUCGUCAUUUUUGGAGACGCUGUCAACUCUGACGAAUGAAGGAAUGUGGAAGCCAGGGGAAAUUGCACCUGCAGAAAGUGCUGGAAUUCCAGGGCCAACUCCUCUCAACUGUCCUUUAAGAGUACGUGGACCUUACUUGAUUGUUUGAGAUCCAGCAAUUGGAGUUUCCUAAAGGAAAUACCAGAAAUGGAAAUCCAUGCUCAUUGCAAACAUUUAAAUUUCUGAGUGGCCUGAAUUGAGCCAAGAGGCAAGGAUCCUACUGCCAUGGCCACACCAGCUCCUGUAAAAGCUGUAAACCUUCAGCUGAGGGUAGAAAGGCAGCCAUUUAGACACACGGGGGUAAUUUUUAGUUGGAAGGAAAGAAAAAAUGCUCCAAGUCAAGUUAGAAAAUUUAUAUUGGUACAAAAAUCCUUUGAACCUUAACAGUAAAUGGAUUUUGCUCAUUAUGUGGGUUGAUUUUCUCAGCGGCCCAUUGCAUGUGUGAAUCUGCGAUUCAUUCUCAGCAAAGAUGACUAAUGGAUCUUUUAGGAAUCUAAGCUUUAAAGUUGAUUUUCUGUGUUGGUCAUGGAAGCAGCUUGACUUUAGAUACUUUAUGAGAUGGUUGCCAAGGGAACUUGGGGCAAAAUUUCUCAGGAGUGUCUCUAAAAACAUUAUUCAUAAUUAAAAAGUGAUUCAUAGAAAUCACCAGAAAAAUUA
Vicugna pacos (alpaca) is the source of this 775-nucleotide non-coding RNA. The record is from RefSeq and is a predicted model, not a curated record. NCBI's taxonomy places the organism in Eukaryota, Metazoa, Chordata, Mammalia, Artiodactyla, Camelidae.